This 253-nucleotide ribosomal RNA is filed under the name uncultured bacterium. RNAcentral's name for it is "partial 16S ribosomal RNA". It matches the Rfam family "Bacterial small subunit ribosomal RNA", at positions 524 to 776 of the family's 1533-position model. The record is from RNAcentral.
UACGGGGGGGGCAAGCGUUGUUCGGAAUUACUGGGCGUAAAGGGCUCGUAGGCGGCCAACUAAGUCAGACGUGAAAUCCCUCGGCUUAACCGGGGAACUGCGUCUGAUACUGGAUGGCUUGAGUUUGGGAGAGGGAUGCGGAAUUCCAGGUGUAGCGGUGAAAUGCGUAGAUAUCUGGAGGAACACCGGUGGCGAAGGCGGCAUCCUGGACCGACACUGACGCUGAUGCGCGAAAGCCAGGGGAGCAAACGGG